This 119-nucleotide unclassified non-coding RNA is filed under the name uncultured fungus. RNAcentral describes it as "sequence contains ITS1". The record is from RNAcentral. Lineage: Eukaryota; Fungi.
UUCUCUGUUAUCGUGGUUACGUUCUGUACGCUGACGUCUGGAGCGGCCGAGGCCGACGGUUCACGGUGUGUUCGUUUACGAUUUCUCUAAUGAUCCUUCCGCAGGUUCACCUACGGAAA